UACAGAGGUGGCGAGCGUUGUUCGGAAUUACUGGGCGUAAAGGGCGCGUAGGCGGUUCGUCAAGUCCUGUGUGAAAUCCCCCGGCUCAACUGGGGAACUGCACAGGAAACUAGCGGGCUUGAGUUCGGGAGAGGGAAGCGGAAUUCCGGGUGUAGCGGUGAAAUGCGUAGAUAUCCGGAGGAACACCGGUGGCGAAGGCGGCUUCCUGGACCGACACUGACGCUGAGGCGCGAAAGCUAGGGGAGCAAACGGG
RNAcentral lists this ribosomal RNA (253 nucleotides) under uncultured bacterium. Its description in RNAcentral is "partial 16S ribosomal RNA". It matches the Rfam family "Bacterial small subunit ribosomal RNA", at positions 524 to 776 of the family's 1533-position model. The record is from RNAcentral.